UACGUAUGGAGCAAGCGUUAUCCGGAUUUACUGGGUGUAAAGGGAGCGUAGGCGGUAAGGCAAGUCUGAUGUGAAAGGCCAGGGCUCAACCCUGGGACUGCAUUGGAAACUGUUUAACUAGAGUGUCGGAGAGGCAAGUGGAAUUCCUAGUGUAGCGGUAAAAUGCGUAGAUAUAUGGAAGAACACCAGUGGCGAAGGCGGCCGCCUGGCCUGUUACUGACGCUGAGGCACGAAAGCGUGGGGAGCAAAUAGG
RNAcentral lists this ribosomal RNA (253 nucleotides) under uncultured Lachnospiraceae bacterium. RNAcentral's name for it is "partial 16S ribosomal RNA". It matches the Rfam family "Bacterial small subunit ribosomal RNA", at positions 524 to 776 of the family's 1533-position model. Lineage: Bacteria; Bacillati; Bacillota; Clostridia; Lachnospirales; Lachnospiraceae. The record is from RNAcentral.